UACGAUCCCUUCGGGGUGACGAGUUAUUGACUGAGUGGCGGACGGGUGAGUAACGCGUGGGUAACCUACCUUGUACAGGGGGACAACAGUUGGAAACGACUGCUAAUACCGCAUAANCGCACAGCAUCNCAUGAUGCAGUGUGAAAAGUUUUUUCGGUACAAGAUGGACCCGCGUCUGAUUAGCUAGUUGGUGAGGUAACGGCCCACCAAGGCGACGAUCAGUANCCGACCUGAGAGGGUGACCGGCCACAUUGGGACUGAGACACGGCCCAAACUCCUACGGGAGGCAGCAGUGGGGAAUAUUGCACAAUGGGCGCAAGCCUGAUGCAGCGACGCCGCGUGAGCGAAGAAGUAUUUCGGUAUGUAAAGCUCUAUCAGCAGGGAAGAUAAUGACGGUACCUGACUAAGAAGCACCGGCUAAAUACGUGCCAGCAGCCGCGGUAAUACGUAUGGUGCAAGCGUUAUCCGGAUUUACUGGGUGUAAAGGGAGCGUAGGCGGUUUUACAAGUCUGAUGUGAAAGCCCGGGGCUCAACUCCGGUAUUGCAUUGGAAACUGUAGAACUAGAGUGUCGGAGGGGUAAGUGGAAUUCCUAGUGUAGCGGUGAAAUGCGUAGAUAUUAGGAGGAACACCAGUGGCGAAGGCGGCUUACUGGACGAUUACUGACGCUGAGGCUCGAAAGCGUGG
This 685-nucleotide ribosomal RNA is filed under the name uncultured bacterium. Its description in RNAcentral is "bacterial SSU rRNA". It matches the Rfam family "Bacterial small subunit ribosomal RNA", at positions 65 to 764 of the family's 1533-position model. The record is from RNAcentral.